Molecule: long non-coding RNA, 456 nt
Filed under: Cucumis sativus (cucumber)
Lineage: Eukaryota; Viridiplantae; Streptophyta; Magnoliopsida; Cucurbitales; Cucurbitaceae
Description: long non-coding RNA (CSAT_LNC000980)
Source: RNAcentral
UUGAUGAUCCUAACACAUUUGCUGCAAGAAUCCACAGAAUGUUGAAACUUGGUCUUAGCAUUGAUGAGGAAGAAAAUGAAGGAGAUGACGCAGACAUGCCUGCUUUAGAGGAAGAUGCUACUGAAGAGAGCAAAAUGGAGGAGGUAGACUAAGCCCAUCCUCUGUAUCAUCCAUCAUCCAAUUUCUUUAACCGUUCAUCGUGUUGAUAUUGGGAUGUCUGUGAAUGUAUUUUGAGGAAAGUAAAUGUCUUGCGUCCAGUCAUUGAUCAGCGUCAAUGUUGGUUUUUGUGUCUCACUUCCUGUUUUACAUAAUCUGUUGUAAUCAAGGACAAAUGUAUGUGCUAAAGCGUGUUACUCUCCUGUUUUACAUAAUCUGUUGUAAUCAAGGACAAAUUUAAGUGCUAAAGCGUGUUACUCCAAUGUAUAAACAGAUCUUUUUUGUUGGUCAGCAUCUUCU